AGAGUUUGAUCAUGGCUCAGGAUGAACGCUGGCGGCGUGCUUAACACAUGCAAGUCGAGCGGAAAGGCUCCUUCGGGGGUACUCGAGCGGCGAACGGGUGAGUAACACGUGAGUAAUCUGCCCUUGGCUUUGGGAUAAGCCCCGGAAACGGGGUCUAAUACCGGAUACGACGCACUCUCGCAUGGGAUGUGUGUGGAAAGUUUUUUCGGCCAGGGAUGUGCUCGCGGCCUAUCAGCUUGUUGGUGGGGUAAUGGCCUACCAAGGCUUCGACGGUAGCCGGCCUGAGAGGGUGACCGGCCACACUGGGACUGAGACACGGCCCAGACUCCUACGGGAGGCAGCAGUGGGGAAUAUUGGACAAUGGGCGGAAGCCUGAUCCAGCAACGCCGCGUGAGGGAUGACGGCCUUCGGGUUGUAAACCUCUUUCAGUACCGACGAAGCGCCGAUGAUGGUGGUGACGGUAGGUACAGAAGAAGCACCGGCCAACUACGUG
This 493-nucleotide ribosomal RNA is filed under the name uncultured bacterium. RNAcentral describes it as "bacterial SSU rRNA". It matches the Rfam family "Bacterial small subunit ribosomal RNA", at positions 8 to 507 of the family's 1533-position model. The record is from RNAcentral.